Molecule: non-coding RNA, 73 nt
Organism: Myotis lucifugus (little brown bat)
Lineage: Eukaryota; Metazoa; Chordata; Mammalia; Chiroptera; Vespertilionidae
Source: Rfam
GCCAGUUUUGCUCAGUGGGUAGAGCAUUAGCCUGCAGACCAAAAGGUCCCUGGUUCGAUUCCGGUCAAGGGCA